GAGGAAACUUGUGCUAAUACCGGAUAAGUCUUUACGGAGAAAGCUUUAUGCACCAUUGGAUGAGCCCGCACUUGAUUAGUUUGUUGGGAGGGUAAUGGCCUACCAAGACUAUGAUCAAUAGCUGAUUUGAGAGGAUGAUCAGCCACAUUGGGACUGAGACACGGCCCAAACUCCUACGGGAGGCAGCAGUGGGGAAUCUUGCACAAUGGAGGAAACUCUGAUGCAGCGAUGCCGCGUGAGUGAAGAAGGCCUUUGGGUUGUAAAGCUCUUUCGUCGGGGAAGAAAAUGACUGUACCCGAAUAAGAAGGUCCGGCUAACUUCGUGCCAGCAGCCGCGGUAAUACGAAGGGACCUAGCGUAGUUCGGAAUUACUGGGCUUAAAGAGUUCGUAGGUGGUUGAAAAAGUUGGUGGUGAAAUCCCAGAGCUUAACUCUGGAACUGCCAUCAAAACUUUUCAGCUAGAGUAUGAUAGAGGAAAGCAGAAUUUCUAGUGUAGAGGUGAAAUUCGUA
Molecule: ribosomal RNA, 509 nt
Filed under: uncultured Pelagibacterales bacterium
Lineage: Bacteria; Pseudomonadati; Pseudomonadota; Alphaproteobacteria; Candidatus Pelagibacterales
Description: bacterial SSU rRNA
Rfam family: Bacterial small subunit ribosomal RNA
Source: RNAcentral